Molecule: long non-coding RNA, 722 nt
Organism: Malania oleifera
Lineage: Eukaryota; Viridiplantae; Streptophyta; Magnoliopsida; Santalales; Ximeniaceae
Exons: 2
Source: RefSeq, a predicted model, not a curated record
CAUUUCUUUCAUUUUUCUAACCUCCUCGCAGACCCUCUCCCUCCUCGGCUAAAACCCUAAGUCUCUCCUUUCUUCCUCUUCAUGAAUCGUCCCUAGCCCAUACUUUCUUAGCUCACUGUCCCCUUUUCAGUGUUUUGAAAUGAUCAACAACCCCUAAAUCUUCCUUGACACAUCCCUUUACUUCAAGCUCACCCCUACUUUUUUCUUUUUCUUUUUUCUAAACUCCCUGUAAGCCAUAAAGCCAAACUCUCACAUCUUUGCAACUUUCUCAACUUCUAUGUUCUUCUCCAUCUCAAUGAAAAACCCUAACCCCUGGUUCAUCUACCUUACUAAAACCAAAGCCUCCAAACCUCGAUCCUUUCACCCCCUCUAAAUCUAAACCACUCUCUGACCUCUCGAAGAAAUUUUUCCUCACGGAUCCUCAAGUCCAAGUAUUCUCUCUGUUCAAAAUGGGACAGACCCGAAGACCCGAACCCUCGAGGAUUCUGGGGGAUCUGAAAUCUUCGAAGUGGAGAUUCGUUUGACUGUUCGAAAGCCAAUCCUUAAAUAAGUAACCUGGAGGCUCCAGGUGGCAGCCCAUGAGUGGACGGCAUGGCAUCUUCUUUUUAUGUUUUAUUGUAUUUAUUUUGUAUUUCAUUUCCUGCAUGUACUGGUAGGUAGCUUGUACUGCAACAAUUAUUUGUAACGUCUUUUUAAUUUUUAAUUUUUCACUUUUCUAGCUA